Long non-coding RNA from Oncorhynchus masou masou (cherry salmon), 804 nucleotides. RefSeq lists it as uncharacterized. The transcript is spliced from 3 exons. The record is from RefSeq and is a predicted model, not a curated record. Lineage: Eukaryota; Metazoa; Chordata; Actinopteri; Salmoniformes; Salmonidae.
GGUCAGUAUCUUCUGGCAAGGUGAAUGGGACAACGUCGGGAGUCUGUUCGUUUGACUCCCUGCGUUGUGCAUCGUUCUGGUGUGCGGCGACGGAAAAUAACCCUACAACGAUAUAGCCGGCUACUAGGACCCCUGGGGGUACUUAGCCUAGCCACAGGGAGUACUUAAGACUCAUGAGACAAUAUGCUUACUACAGCAGGAUUAAUCUCAGUCUUAUUAAUGGACAACUCAUCAGAUAUCACAGCAGCUUUCCCCCGAGGCCAACAAGUGUUAUGACACUCAGCCACAGGCCUGGAGUUUCCAGUUGUCUCGAAAGCACCAAUAAACCCUGAAUUGCUGAUGCUAUGUGUUGGCCAAUGAGAGACUUUGAAGCCACUGGUCGGCCAUAUUAGCACUUCCCAGACUCUCCAACCCGGUUCCUGAAGAGCAAGCAACAGAUUUUCAUUCCAAAAUGUAUCUAGCGCAACUGAUUCUAAUAAUUAGCUGGUUGAUAAUAUGAACCAGGUUAGUUACAGCUAACAGAGGUUGGAGCGAAAACAUGCAAGAGGGUACUUAGCUGAACAGGAUUAGAGAGCCCUGCUCAGAAGAAGCAGUCUCCAUAGGAAUGAAUGGAAAUCUACAGUAUUGCGCAAGAAAUAUAAGUUAAAUAUGCAAUUCAAUUGCACAAUUAAAUGUUUCAAGGACACAAUUACAGGUAUUAUUUUGUGGUAGUGGCCACAGUAACAUUAUAAAAAGUAUGAUUUAAGGGAAAUGGUUUUAUAUAUUUUUUAUGUUUAUGUUUAGCUCACAUAAUAUUAUUUUUAA